GAGAGGUGUUCAGAACACUA
RNAcentral lists this transfer RNA (20 nucleotides) under Iguana insularis (Southern Antillean horned iguana). Its description in RNAcentral is "partial tRNA-Ser". The record is from RNAcentral. Lineage: Eukaryota; Metazoa; Chordata; Lepidosauria; Squamata; Iguanidae.